This 2801-nucleotide long non-coding RNA is filed under the name Hordeum vulgare. Its description in RNAcentral is "long non-coding RNA (HVUL_LNC003836)". The record is from RNAcentral. Lineage: Eukaryota; Viridiplantae; Streptophyta; Magnoliopsida; Poales; Poaceae.
AAUUUUGCAACGAUUAUUUGAUAAGUUAUUCACAAAACCCUUAGUUUUUAGCACUUAGAAGUUUUUAAGUGGCACAUUUCUCUAACCAAUGAGGAUGGAGUAUCACUCUCCCACUGAUCACCCUACCGAAGGCAUGUGAGCCGUCCACGUCCUACAGAUCCAACGUCUCCUCCCUCUCCUACCUAAACCUAACGCACGAAACACCCGCCUCCCUACGUACCGCCGUCCUCUCUCUCCCUCUCCCAGAUCCAGAUCGAGGCCCUCGCGUCUCUCCUCUCCCUCCAUCUCCGCUGCAGCCGGCUCCCGCCCAGUCCUCGUCCUCCUCUAUCUCCACAUCCGCUCAGUCCUCGUCCUCCGCUGCGGCCCGCAUGCUGGAGGAAGCUGGCGGCUAGGCCGGCCACAGAGCAGAGGAAGGCUGCGGCACACACACAGGGCAGGGACCACACGCGAUCGGUCAACGUCACCAGCGGGAGGUUUCGUCCUCGGGCUCGACAUGCCGCCUCCUCCCCGCGCGCGUGCACUCCACCCCCACUACCCCCUCCUCUGCCUCCGCCUGCCCGGUCCGGCCCGGCGACGACGACUCCCCCGCGCGGUGCGUACAUCCUUCUCCCUCGCCGAUUCCGUGGCUCCGAUCCUCUCCGCCCCGGAGGUCGGUUCCGUGCUGCUCUGGUGCAUGGAUCUGGUUCGGUAGGAGUUUGAUCGAUGUGGUUGACUGCCUUUUUCCGUCCAGCAUUGGAUCUGGGUCGCCGCCCCAGUGGGUCGGGUUUCGGUUUCAGAUGCCGCACCAAAUCGGUAGUGAGCCGUCCUUGGAGCAAACACAGCUGAUGAGUCGCUGGAGCUGGCUGUCCGCGUCGAUCCUUAUCUCCUCUGCUGUCGCACUUCCUUACCGUCCGUUGUGUAGCAAAAUCCCUUCAACUUUCCUGAAACAACACAACCUUCCCAGUCACGGGGAUGCGAUACUGGAUUAUGACAGGAGGCGGGGGUUAUAUUUCUCUGAAUUAUUACUGAGCUUUCCAAAUCGCACCUGACUUUGCCUUAGAUAUGCUGAAUGUUAGCACCGUGUUUAGGUCAUAACUAGCACAGUUUGACAGCCACAUCACUGCAAUGGCUGCUGUUUCAGUAGGUGUUUUGCUCUCCUUCAUUGCUUGCUUGACCUAUCUGGUAGGGCUCCUUUUGGCUGGUGCAAGUUGUUAGGAUCCUGUCUAGGUAGGAGGGAGUUAGCCAUCCACAUCUAUAUAUGUUCUGGUGGGAACAUGUACUAUUGUGGGCGUGAACCUGGUUAUGACCUCAACUACUGCCAUGUGCUCGGCCAUUAGAUUAUAUAGGUGCAUCUUCCUAUUUUUUAGAAUCUUCCCUUGUACAAUAGCUGGGAAUCUCGGAGUCUUGCUUUGGAAGGUUUGUCUAAUCCAAAUUUUUUGUUAGGUGUAUGAUAUUGAAUGUAUGAUCGUAAUUGUGCUUAAAUCUUGCUAAGCCUGCUAGGCUGUACAGUAUCUUCUGAUGAUACUAUCAGCAAUAGAUUAUUGUGCAAACACCAAACAUUAGCAUUGGUUUACAUUAAAAUCACUUUUCGUUGUGUCAAUUAACUUAUUAUAUGCUUGCUUUCCCCCCAUAUGUCAGGCUCAAGCGAUGAAGCGACAAUCCCUUCUACGUGAGGAAACGAUUUUACAGUACAAGUUGGGCAAUUUCGAGGUAAUGACCUCAUUUAACCCUGACAUUCUAAUUAGAUAAAAAUAUCAUACUACUUAUGCCGUGCUUGUUUUUUAUCACGUCGUAGCUGCAAUCCAGAAAAGGUUGGAUCCUGAUGCUCCCCCGCAAUAGGCAUCUUGUGGACAUUCCAUUUUCUCUGAAGUUAAUUCUCAUAGAUCUUCAUGAGCAACAUACUGUGAUGUACCGCAGUUUAUUUGCACAAAAAGUAUACUGAGCUGAAAAUGCUGGUACUGUACCUGUACUGUAUAAUUUUGAAAAUUUUGCUCGUUAGUUUCAAGUUGUGCUGUAUGCAUCAGUUUGGUACGUUGAGAUGUAAGUUUUUUCAGAGUUUUUCUAUUGUUGUUCCAUAGGCAUCUCAUUGUUUGUCGCUUGCUGUGUCAACUCGUGUGAAUGGUUCGUGAAUUGGGGCUUUCGAUGAUCCUGAUGUGAUCGGAGUAGGAUUUACUCGCUGCUCACAGUUACUACUUGUAUUCACUGUUUUCUAUGCCUCAUUUUGCUUGUUUUACUCUCAUUUACAAAAACAAACUGCCUACAAGUUAGUGUGCUGUUAGAUUUUCUUUUAUUUUGUUCUUAACCAUUUUGUCUUAUAACUUGUAGAUGUUGGCCUUCGUUCAUGUUUCGUCGCAAGGUCCAGGACGAAGAAGUCAGGAGAAGCACAGAGUUCUUGAUCAUUGGAGCUAGUUAUUGUUUUGAUUUUUUAGUUGUGUUACCUGAUGUGAACUAGUUUUGAUUGUAAACCUGAUGCGAACCAUGUUUGAUUGAAAUUUUCCAAGUUUGGAUAUGUUGGAUUGUAUUCAUGAUGUGACAGAGGUUCAAGUUAUAAUGGUUGUUUGACAUAUUUUGUAAUUUCUCAUGUGUGGGACCAAUUUUGAGAUCAACAUGACAUGUGGGACCAGUACAAAAACAAAAUGGUCAAAAAAGAAAAUCAAUAGGGAGUAGAAGGCCACAACCCAAAAUAAAAAAAGGCUAAAAUGUUGGGGAUUAUUGGGCUAGGCCCAUGCAGCUAAGCAAAAUAAAGAGAAAAAAACAUUAAAUGGGCUGGAUUAAUGGGGUUGGCUCAUUUAAAACAUCGAAUUGGACCGGGCUAAUUCUGU